AACGAACGCUGGCGGCAUGCCUAACACAUGCAAGUCGAACGAAACCUUCGGGUCUAGUCGCGCACGGGUGCGUCACGCGUGGGAACCUUCCCUUAGGUGCGGAAUAACUCCCCGAAAGGGGUGCUAAUACCGGAUAAUGUCUUCGGACCAAGGAUUUAUCGCGCUUGGAUGGGCUCGCGUUGGAUUAGCUAGUGGUUAGGGUAAAAGGCUCACAAGGCGACGAUGCAUAGCUGGUCUGAGAGGAUGAUUAGCCACUCUGGGACUGAGACACGGCCCAGACUCCUACGGGAGGGAGGAGAGGGGAAUAGUGGAACAUGGGCGAAAGCCUGAUGCAGCUAUGCCGGGUAAGUGAUGAAGGCCUUAGAGUAGUAAAGCUCUUUUAACCGGGAUGAUAAUGACGGUACCGAGAGAAUAAGCCCCGGCUAACUACGUG
RNAcentral lists this ribosomal RNA (433 nucleotides) under uncultured bacterium. Its description in RNAcentral is "partial 16S ribosomal RNA". It matches the Rfam family "Bacterial small subunit ribosomal RNA", at positions 29 to 507 of the family's 1533-position model. The record is from RNAcentral.